UUUACCUAAAAAUAUGCUAAACAGAUCGUUGUUAGAACCGACAAACAAAGUUUAAAUUAAUUUAACUCUUACCUAUUUUACUCAAAGAAUAGUGGUCGUAAGAGGUCGAUCCACAGGAAGGCGAUUGGAGUUGCAUAAAAAUUAAAACAUUUACUUGGAUUCGAAACUAAUUUUUAAAUAAUGAAAGAAAAACAUUACGUCGAGGAUGUUGAUAGAUUCUCUAGUCUACUGAAGAAUAUUUUUUAAUUGAAAUUAACUAGAAGACAUGUACUUAGAUUCAAAGAGCAUUUAUAUAUUUAACUAAUCAAAGAAAAGCUUUGGCAUAAAUUAAAAUGGAUGAAACGAAGAGGAUUGAAGCGAACACAAAUUGCAUAGAGGAAGAUUUAAUG
This 389-nucleotide long non-coding RNA is filed under the name Phoenix dactylifera (date palm). RNAcentral's name for it is "long non-coding RNA (PDAC_LNC012391)". The record is from RNAcentral. Lineage: Eukaryota; Viridiplantae; Streptophyta; Magnoliopsida; Arecales; Arecaceae.